Molecule: non-coding RNA, 46 nt
Organism: Strongyloides venezuelensis
Lineage: Eukaryota; Metazoa; Nematoda; Chromadorea; Rhabditida; Strongyloididae
Source: Rfam
CCAACGGCCCUCUUUAGGGCCACCAUCCUGAGCUUUUUUGUAUUUU